GGGUAGGGGUGAAAGGCCAAUCAAACUAGGAAAUAGCUCGUACUCUCCGAAAUGCUUUUAAGAGCAGCCUUAAAUCUAUACUAGCAGAGGUAGAGCUACCGAUAGGAUAGUGGGGGAUUCAAAUCCCACCGCAUCCAGACGAACUCCGAAUGCUGCUAGUUCUGUUUAGGAGUGAGGGCUAGGGUGCUAAGGUCCUAGUCCAAAAGGGAAAGAACCCAGACCAUCAGCUAAGGUCC
Molecule: ribosomal RNA, 236 nt
Filed under: Ctenophora environmental sample
Lineage: Eukaryota; Metazoa; Ctenophora
Description: partial Bacterial large subunit ribosomal RNA
Rfam family: Bacterial large subunit ribosomal RNA
Source: RNAcentral